This 253-nucleotide ribosomal RNA is filed under the name uncultured bacterium. Its description in RNAcentral is "partial 16S ribosomal RNA". It matches the Rfam family "Bacterial small subunit ribosomal RNA", at positions 524 to 776 of the family's 1533-position model. The record is from RNAcentral.
UACGGGGGGAGCAAGCGUUGUUCGGAUUUACUGGGCGUAAGGGCGCGUAGGCGGUCAGCACAAGUCAGUUGUGAAAUCUCCGGGCUUAACUCGGAAAGGUCAACUGAUACUGUGCGACUAGAGUGCGGAAGGGGCAACUGGAAUUCUCGGUGUAGCGGUGAAAUGCGUAGAUAUCGAGAGGAACACCUGCGGCGAAGGCGGGUUGCUGGGCCGACACUGACGCUGAUGCGCGAAAGCCAGGGGAGCAAACAGG